Harmonia axyridis is the source of this 73-nucleotide non-coding RNA. The record is from the annotation of a RefSeq genome assembly. NCBI's taxonomy places the organism in Eukaryota, Metazoa, Arthropoda, Insecta, Coleoptera, Coccinellidae.
UCCUCGAUAGCUCAACGGUGAGAGCGUCGGACUAGUAAUUCGGAGGUUGCGGGUUCGAGCCCCGCUCGGGGAG